GAUCAUGGCUCAGGAUGAACGCUAGCUACAGGCUUAACACAUGCAAGUCGAGGGGCAGCAUGAACUUAGCUUGCUAAGUUUGAUGGCGACCGGCGCACGGGUGAGUAACACGUAUCCAACCUGCCGAUGACUCGGGGAUAGCCUUUCGAAAGAAAGAUUAAUACCCGAUGGCAUAGUUCUUCCGCAUGGUAGAACUAUUAAAGAAUUUCGGUCAUCGAUGGGGAUGCGUUCCAUUAGGUUGG
This 242-nucleotide ribosomal RNA is filed under the name uncultured bacterium. Its description in RNAcentral is "partial 16S ribosomal RNA". It matches the Rfam family "Bacterial small subunit ribosomal RNA", at positions 15 to 249 of the family's 1533-position model. The record is from RNAcentral.